AAUAUAGUGCCAAUUUCGUAGCUGAUGAAGUUUAAGUGAGGUGCGAUUGUUGCUAAAAGAAAACUUUUCCCAAUAUCCCGCUGUGAUGGUUUGAAAUAUAGCCAGCAAUGGCAAUUUUUGAUAGUCUCUAUGGAAA
Small nuclear RNA from Carcharodon carcharias (great white shark), 136 nucleotides. RefSeq annotates it as U4 spliceosomal RNA. The record is from RefSeq and is a predicted model, not a curated record. The transcript has a single exon. Lineage: Eukaryota; Metazoa; Chordata; Chondrichthyes; Lamniformes; Lamnidae.